UUCCGGUUGAUCCUGCCAGAGGUCACUGCUAUCNGGGUUCGAUUAAGCCAUGCGAGUCGAGAGGGUUCGGCCCUCGGCGUACUGCUCAGUAACACGUGGAUAACCUGCCCUAGGGGAGGGGAUAACCCCGGGAAACUGGGGAUAAUACCCUAUAGGUUACAGAUGCUGGAAUGCCCUGUAACCAAAAGCUCCGGCGCCCUAGGAUGGAUCUGCGGCCGAUUAGGUUGUUGUUGGGGUAACGGCCCAACAAGCCCGUAAUCGGUACGGGUUGUGGGAGCAAGAGCCCGGAGUUGGAUUCUGAGACACGAAUCCAGGCCCUACGGGGCGCAGCAGGCGCGAAACCUUUACAAUGCGGGCAACCGUGAUAAGGGAACCUCGAGUGCCUGUAAACGCAGGCUGUUCAGGUGUUUAAAACGCACCUGGAGAAAGGGCCGGGCAAGACCGGUGCCAGCCGCCGCGGUAAUACCGGCGGCUCGAGUGGUGGCCGCUUUUAUUGGGCUUAAAGCGUUCGUAGCUGGGUUGUUAAGUCUCUUGGGAAAUCUGGCGGCUUAACCGUCAGGCGUCUAAGGGAUACUGGCAAUCUUGGAACCGGGAGAGGUGAGGGGUACUUCGGGGGUAGGGGUGAAAUCCUGUAAUCCUCGAGGGACCACCUGUGGCGAAGGCGCCUCACCAGAACGGCUUCGACAGUGAGGGACGAAAGCUGGGGGAGCAAACCGGAUUAGAUACCCGGGUAGUCCCAGCCGUAAACGAUGCGCGUUAGGUGUAUCGGUGACACGAGUUACCGAGGUGCCGAAGG
This 796-nucleotide ribosomal RNA is filed under the name uncultured archaeon. RNAcentral's name for it is "bacterial SSU rRNA". It matches the Rfam family "Archaeal small subunit ribosomal RNA", at positions 1 to 807 of the family's 1478-position model. The record is from RNAcentral.